GGAUAAAUGACUGUACAUGCAGCCUCCUCUUCUUGACUUUUCAACGACAAAUUCAAGAUGAUUUAAUGUAUUGGGCCAGAUUUUAUAAAAGUUAAAAUACAAUGACUCUUAUAUAAAAAUAUACUAAUCAAUCUAUAAAUAUAAGAAAACUUACAUAAUAUCGAAGUUCUAGAUCAUACUGUGAGCUGGAUCGUGACCCGAGAAGGCUGGAUCCGCGCGUAGUUGAGGAACACUAUAAUGUUCAACAACAUGGAGUAGUAAGCAUACUGCAAACCAUGAUGCUGAUAGUACAGUUGCUGGUCAGCGCUUCUAAGACGAGUUACGUGUCCAUGUCUAGCUUACAGAGCCAUGCAGAUCAGGUUCUCUUUGCAGCAUGCUUUCUGCGAGUCCAAACAAUCAGAUAAGAGUCGAAAUCAUACAACAAGACUACGUAUGACAGCAACCUGAAGGAAGGUCGGAUGUUCCAUUACCACUGAUUAAGAAACAGAUAAACUAUGUAAUCAAAUAUACUAAAUUAAAAUUAAGGUGAAACAACCAUAUCAACUGCAGAAUGAUUUGAUUAGAUAGGAUCUAUCCAAUGAUUUCCGUUUCCUUUUUUUUCUCUUGUUCCCCUCUUCUUCUGAGGACCCACAAUACCAUUUGGCCAUGUGAUUUGAACUUGACAACAAAGGUGACCAAACCCAAAUCUUUUGUAACCAUCUCUGUGUAUUUUCUCUUCGAACAUCCUUCUUCAGAGUUCCCUUUUGGAAAGUGAUGUGUUUAUGCAUCCAUCACAUUCUACCAACAGUUUCAGCCUCCUCUUCUUUGUUAUUAAUAAAUAAUUUACAAUUUUAUAGACAUUGGACAGUGUUUCAGGUUUUCUGAUCAGCAGGAGAAACAAAGAUGAAGGUGAAAGUCCCAAACUUCACUGUAUUUCCUUUGAAAAAAUGGAUGCACAACUUUCUUAACUUAUAAUUCCCUUUGUUGCAUUCAUUUUAGUUACUUGAUUGGAUGCACCGCAAGUUGCGGCAGAAUAGCAAUGAACAACCUCUCAAGGAUUUCUGCGUUGGUACUAUAAGAUCCUUUCUAUAUGUAUAUAUGGAUUUAUUACCUUUCUGGUAAUUUUCUUUUUUCUUUUGGAUGAACAUAUUUGAUAUUUCGUCCUGUGCAAAAACUUCAGGGCAAGCCUACAAUUGCCUUACGGCACAGCCAUCGAUCGAUGAGCAAGAGACCUUCCAAAAGAAAAACUAUGGGAACAGAACAUACAUGCAGUUCUCCCGGGAGAAUCUGCUGGGUAUGAAAGCUGAAUUAGGAGAAGGAGAUGAAGACUACUAUGCAGAUGAAAUGUCAGAGCUUUUCCAUGGGUUCCUAGCCAUUGGAACGCUUGGUUCCGACCCAACCGGCACCAAUCCACCAGCAACACCAACAUUUGCAAUUGGCUUGGAGAACAUUACGGAGCAAGAGAUUGAGGAUCAUGAAGCAACUGAGAAUGAGCUGAAACUGAUCAACGAUGAGCUUGAGAAGGUACUGAUAGCUCAGGAAAGCAGCUGGAACAAUGACAUUUCGGCAAGAAACAGCCACGUGAGUGGAGGGAGAAGCAGCCAAGGGAGCACGAUUACUCUGAGUGGGAAGGCAUUGUUUGAAGGGAGAGAGAGCAAUGCAGUUUGCCCUCUGCAAGAGUAUCUGUUUGGUUCUGCAGUGGAGAUUCCAGCGGAGACGACUACUGCUGUAAAGAAAGAGGGGAAUAGGACUUCACUUGGGGAGCUGUUCCAGAAGACUAAGCUGGCUGAGGAGAAUAAUGGUGGUGGAGGUAAAUGGGGGGAGAUGGGUGGUAGGGAAGAUGAGAAGCGGAAUCAUGAGAAGGAAGGAGAGAAGAAGCUUCUCCAUAUCCAGCUGAUGAAGAAGAUGCUUAAGAAGAAACUUCUCCAUGCUUGUUCCAGGAAUUCCAAUGAUUCCUCUGAUUAUGGAAAUUCAGCUGAGACCAAACUGCACAAGGUUGGUUCUCUAUAUAAUUUCUGCGGUAGCUGAAUCAUAGGAAAAGUUUGGCAUCUAGAAUCAUGAUUCAUAGGAAAGUUGAGUAGUGUAAUUUUCUUUCCCCAGCUGCUCAAGGGGAAAUUAAUUUUUCUUAGGAAUCCUUUAUAUCCAUUAACUCAACUAUCCUUCCACAGCUCCUCCCUGCCUCAACUCAAUUUUCGUAGGAAGCAUGAUUCUGGAUGCCUAACCUUACGAUAUAUACUAUAUUAUCUGACAUUUUAGUUUGCAGAUCAAGCGAAUGUUUUACAGGAAAGUUCAUCCGGAGAAUCUAGAACCAGGACAGGCAACACCAGCUGGGAAGAAAGGAACCAAAUCCGAGAAGAACAAGGAGAAAAAGAACAAGAAGAAGGGGCAGAACAUGAAUGAAGGAGGAGACGGAGUGGCGAAUGGAGUUCGAGGGAGUCAACCAAAUGCAGUGGAGUUUGGUAUGGACGACUUCGACUCCAACGGGAGCCGGGAAUGCUGGAUCAAGACAGAUGCACAGUGUAUGUAUAUGCUAUACUUGGUCUCUAAUUACUGACUGGGCUUAGGUCUGGAACUGAGUAUGAACAGAACUAAACAAUUAGAGUAGAAGUAUCCAUAUCAUUAUCCUGCAUUGUCCACACUAGAUAAUUGAUGAAACUAAAUCCGGCAUAUGAACAUGUAAACUCUUGUUUGCAGAUCUGGUGUUAGAGCUGUGAGGAGGAGAAGCAGGAGCCAGAUAAGAAUGGACUAAAUGGUUGUGUUUUUAAAAAAAGGUUGUGAUAGAGAACACUGGUAUACAUAAACUCUAUCAGAAGCAGUAAUUAACGGGGUGUAUUAGUUAUAAAUUUGCAGGAAGGAUAAGGAUGUGUCAGCAAUUAAAGUAUGGUUAUAUAUGAAUGAAUUGUAUGUUGGAAGUGGGUUUGAGUGAAUAAGAAGGGUUCCCUUCUUUCUCCCAGCGUCCUUUUGUAAUGCUAUUUCGACUGUACUGUGUGUAAUAUUGUGGGACAGAAGCUUUCUGUUUAUUAUUGUUAUUUUUUAUGAUGUCUUUUAUAAAACUAAAAACCAUACAUGACAUUGAAAUAACCAGUGAGAAUUCAAACAGCGAUAGUUUAAAAAGUAGACCUUUUUUCUCUUUCUGCUGCAACUGUGGCCAUAGUAGAACGGUAGAACCCACAUGAUCGCCAAAUUGACUGGGGACGAUGUCAUCAGCAGCAGAAACAGAAUCCUCCUCCUGCAUUACCAGCUCUCUCAUUCAUUGUCCAGAAGCCAGCACUGUUGAAUGCUGAAAUCUUGUAUUAUUACCAAAAACAUCUAACAACAAAAUUCUAGAAAAAAGAAAAGUGGUUAUUCAAUCAGUGGUGAUUAAACAGGAGCAAAAUCAGCAUCCAACGGCCAAAUUCUCUACACAAUAAAAAGGAUAAAGGUCAAGCUGCUGAGAUACGAUUGCUGGAGUGAAAAGCUGAAAGAUUUAACAAGCUCGGUAGUUGUGGUUUUCACUUACACUGAUGUGAGAGGCGUGAGGUUACCUGCUGAAGUCCUGAGCUUGGAAUGUCUGCCGACUUUUCUCUUCGCUGUGCUCAAGUGUUCGUCGAUGCAGUAACAGUUUGAUCUAAGAACUGCAAACAGACGCUUGAGAAAUUGAUCUUCCUGAAAAAUGGGCCCAAUCUCUGCCAGAAUCACUUGAGCCCAAUGCUAUGACGACGUGUUUAUACACUUGCCGUCUGCUACUUCAUGACUUUCUGAUUUUCUCACUGGAGAUCUCCUCCUCAUUUCAUCGAGGAACCCUAAUCUCUCUUCUUCCGUUCGUUCUCUAUGGAUAAAUCAUGCUGACUCCUUUCUUCAAGCACACUCUGAUGUCUGCCAAGGAAGUGAGUGAGUUCGAACUUCAGAAAGUGGUAAUCUUGACACC
RNAcentral lists this long non-coding RNA (3886 nucleotides) under Linum usitatissimum (flax). RNAcentral describes it as "long non-coding RNA (LUSI_LNC006202)". Lineage: Eukaryota; Viridiplantae; Streptophyta; Magnoliopsida; Malpighiales; Linaceae. The record is from RNAcentral.